This 1278-nucleotide long non-coding RNA is filed under the name Ficedula albicollis (Collared flycatcher). RNAcentral describes it as "lncRNA (ENSFALG00000026592.1)". The record is from RNAcentral. Lineage: Eukaryota; Metazoa; Chordata; Aves; Passeriformes; Muscicapidae.
GGCCGGCCCGAGGGGACACGGGGUGUCACCUGGGGAGGGGACAGGGUGGGCAGUGACCCUCCAGUGUCCGAGCGAGGACUGGACACAAGGACGUGGCUCCAGCCGGGUCAGUGGCUCCUGCCAGGUUGGUGGCCCCGUGGCCACUGGUCACGUCCCCAAUGUCCACUCCAGGUGUGUCCCCUCUGUUCAAUCUGGCCACGUCCCCACUGUCCAGCCCUGGCCGUGCCCCCUCUGCCCACUCCAGCCAGACCCUCCAGGACACCUCCGGGGACACCCCCGGAGAGACCCCGCGGUGACCCUGGGGACACCCCCGGAGUGACCGUGGGGACACCCCCGGAGGGACCCCUCAGUGACCCUGGGGACACCCCCGGAGUGACCCUGGGGACACCCCCGGAGAGACCCCGCGGUGACCCUGGGGACACCCCCGGAGUGACCGUGGGGACACCCCCGGAGGGACCCCUCAGUGACCCUGGGGACACCCCCGGAGUGACCCUGGGGACACCCCCGGAGAGACCCCGCGGUGACCCUGGGGACACCCCCGGAGUGACCGUGGGGACACCCCCGGAGGGACCCCUCAGUGACCCUGGGGACACCCCCGGAGUGACCCUGGGGACACCCCCGGAGAGACCCCGCGGUGACCCUGGGGACACCCCCGGCCCCGAGCACUCCGCAGGGAAACCGCCCCGUUCCCAUUCCCGUUCCCCCAUUCCCAUUCCCAUUUCCCCAUUUCCCCAUUCCCAUUCCCACUCCCGUUUCCCCAUUCCCCAUUCCUAUUCCCGUUCCAAUUUCCCCAUUCCCGUUUCCCCUUCCCCAUUCCCAUUCCCGUUCCCGUUCCCAUUCCAAUUCCUGUUUCCCCAUUCCCCAUUCCUAUUCCCAUUCCCGUUCCCCUUCCCAUUCCCAUUCCCGUUUCCCCAUCCCCGUUCCCGUUCCCAUUUCCCCAUUCCCGUCCCCAUUUCCCCGUCCCCGUUCCCAUUUCCCCGUUCCCGUUUCCCCGCUCCCAUUCCCAUUCCCGUUCCCAUUUCCCCAUCCCCGUUUCCCCGCUCCCAUUCCCGUUCCCGUUCCCAUUUCCCCAUUCCCGUUUCCCCGCUCCCAUUCCCGUUCCCAUUUCCCCAUUCCCGUUCCCAUUUCCCCAUUCCCGUUUCCCCGCUCCCAUUCCCGUUCCCAUUUCCCCAUUCCCGUUCCCAUUUCCCCAUCCCCGUUCCCAUUUCCCCGUCUAAGGGACAGCGGGGUGGCACUAAGGGACAGCGGGGACACAGGGGACAGCGGGGGUGGCACUAA